This is a non-coding RNA of Prunus avium (sweet cherry), 1382 nucleotides long. NCBI's taxonomy places the organism in Eukaryota, Viridiplantae, Streptophyta, Magnoliopsida, Rosales, Rosaceae. The record is from RefSeq and is a predicted model, not a curated record.
UAGAACAAAUUUAUCUUCCCAUUUUACCCUUCAAGUUUCUUCUAAAUUGCGUCUCUCUCCCUUCUCUGUUCUUCCCAAAGUCAAGCUCUCACCUCUGUUUCUCUUCCAUAGAGCUCUGCAUCAAUGGCAUCUUCCAUCGCUCAGAUCUCUUUCUACCUUCUAAUUCUAACCUUUUUCUCAGAAACCCGCUUCGGUCUAUCUCUCAGGGACCUCAAAUCCGAUCCUAACCGUCCAUCCACCAUAGCCCAAUCAAUCACAGAUGUUCAUGACCUCCUCCCUAAGUACGGCCUCCCAAAGGGUCUGUUACCAGACAACGUAAAUUCCUACACUCUCUCUGAAGAUGGCAGCUUUGAGAUCUAUCUUGAAAGCCCAUGUUACGUGCACUUUGAUCAGUUGGUUUACUACAACAAGAAUAUUAAAGGGAAACUGAGUUACGGGUCAGUGUCUGAUGUGUCUGGGAUUCAAGCGAAGAAGCUUUUCAUUUGGGUCUCUGUGACUGGGAUUCAGGUUGAUCAAGGAUCUGACUCCGUUGAGUUUUAUGUUGGAGCUUUGUCUGAGAAACUGCCUGCUAAACAGUUUGAGGAUAUUCCUGUAUGUAAAAGCAAGGCCUGCCAAGGAACUUAUGUGGACUCAAUCUGAGGUUAUGAUAAUAAUAGUCAAGCUCCAGAAAGAUCAAGGCUUUAUAUAAGGUGAUGAUAUCUGCCAAAAGUACGUAGGUGAGGUGAGUUACUCCUAAGCUGAAUUUCCAGAGUUUGGAAUCUCACAUUCCUUGCGUCCAUAAGGUUCCAAGAUGCAGGCUUGUGUGUUUGCACAAUUUUUGGCGGAGGCCAUAUGAAUGCACUUGAGCUCUGAAUCCCAACUCUUGCUCCAAUCCUCUUUCUCUGUCUCACUACUAUCUAUGCUCUAAUUCUUAGGGCCAUUUCUCCUAUAUGUUGUGCUCAAAUUUUGACAGUUCAGGUCAAGUCGAAAGAAUGAAGAUAUCAACCCUAUGUUGGGCCUUUGCCUGGUACAGGAACUUCAAAUUACAGAUGAAAAGUUCUUUUUGAGGUGGUUCACUUCUGAGGAGCAAAACGCACAAGGAACUCACUGCAUGGAAGAAGAAUACAGUCGGCAGAUCUUUCGUUCUCCUCUUGCAGUCAUUUUAUGCUUCUUAUUGUUGCUUUUUCAAGUUGCGUCCAUACAAGUAGCCAAUAUAAGCAAAUAAAUGUGCAUAUGAAUUCUUGUCAGUAGUAAAAACAGAGAGAGAGAGAGAGAGAGAGAGAGAGAGAGUGGUGUUAUCUCUGUGUCACAACUACAGGCACCGAUGUAAACCUUGUGAGUAAUGAGUAAAUAUAUAAUGUAAAUUUCAUGCUUGUCAAUAAAUUAUUUUGUGGAUCUUUUAA